This 264-nucleotide ribosomal RNA is filed under the name uncultured Alphaproteobacteria bacterium. RNAcentral describes it as "partial 16S ribosomal RNA". It matches the Rfam family "Bacterial small subunit ribosomal RNA", at positions 9 to 301 of the family's 1533-position model. The record is from RNAcentral. Lineage: Bacteria; Pseudomonadati; Pseudomonadota; Alphaproteobacteria.
GAGUUUGAUCAUGGCUCAGAGCGAACGCUGGCGGCAGGCCUAACACAUGCAAGUCGAACGGAUCCUUCGGGAUUAGUGGCGGACGGGUGAGUAACACGUGGGAACGUGCCCUUUGGUUCGGAACAACUCAGGGAAACUUGAGCUAAUACCGGAUGUGCCCUUCGGGGGAAAGAUUUAUCGCCAUUGGAGCGGCCCGCGUCUGAUUAGCUAGUUGGUGAGGUAAAGGCUCACCAAGGCGACGAUCAGUAGCUGGUCUGAGAGGGA